UUUGUUGGUGGUGUAUAAGUGAAACCCUAAUGUUUUGAUGUUUAUAAUGAAAUGUGUAUUCAAAAUUUAGUAACUCAGCAACAGAAGUUAUUGAAGAAAGCUGUCUAGAUAUCUACUUUAUUUAAAAAUAAAAUAUUCUUGUAUUAUUCCAUAUUUUGUUGUUACAUUUAACGUAAUAUAUUUAUUACAAAGUAAAAAGUGGGGUAUUGUCAUUAUUAACACGAUAAAACACUUUAAUAUAAGUAUUUCCAUGUAAAUCACUUUUUAAAACAAAUUUUGACCUAUCGUUUGAGACUAUAUAAAUCCAAAAUAAAGUAAAUCUUACAGUUCCAAAAUGAAGUCACUUAGAACAUUGUGUAUAUUAAUAUAUGUUCUUAACUAUUUGAUAACAGCAAAUUCACAAGAAGACAUCGUUUGUGAUCCAUGGACUUGUGCAGCAACUAGUUGCACUCCAGUGGGAGAUUGUUCUGGACCAAAUCAGGAAAUAAGAAAAAUUGGAUUAUGUAAAUGUUGUGAAGGAUGUUUUACACUUUUAGAUGUGGGAGAUAUAUGUACAAUAUCAAAAUAUUCUACAAGGAUUUGUAGAAAAGGGUUAAUAUGUUUAAAUGGAAGAUGUAGACGAACCACUUACUAAAAAAAUAAACUAAUAUUUUCUGAGCAUAUA
This is a long non-coding RNA of Aethina tumida (small hive beetle), 664 nucleotides long. RefSeq lists it as uncharacterized. The record is from RefSeq and is a predicted model, not a curated record. NCBI's taxonomy places the organism in Eukaryota, Metazoa, Arthropoda, Insecta, Coleoptera, Nitidulidae. The transcript has 2 exons.